AUCCUCUCAGGGUAGCCCCUGGAGAGUUUUCAGUACUCUACCAACCCCGACUAUGGGAGGGAGAGUCAAGCAGCAGCAUACCCAUUCCAUUCCCAGCUUGGGCAGUGGCUAGCGAGUGGAAGGCAAUCUGCUACAAGU
This is a small nucleolar RNA of Tachyglossus aculeatus (Australian echidna), 138 nucleotides long. Lineage: Eukaryota; Metazoa; Chordata; Mammalia; Monotremata; Tachyglossidae. The record is from RefSeq and is a predicted model, not a curated record.